AACAGUUUGAAAGGAGGUGAUCCAGUGUCUAUAGAGGUAUUGGAGAGAGGUGACGGAACAGUUCGGGAGGGUCUCGUCUAGGGCAGCCCCUGGGCGGACGACGCCCCCGGAUUGGUGCGCCUAACCGCACCGCCUCCUUAAACUCUAGAGGGCCGCUUCCUACCGGGGCGGCCC
This 174-nucleotide small RNA is filed under the name Roseovarius indicus. RNAcentral describes it as "caulobacter sRNA CC2171". The record is from RNAcentral. Lineage: Bacteria; Pseudomonadati; Pseudomonadota; Alphaproteobacteria; Rhodobacterales; Roseobacteraceae.